UCAUUUUAAAAUAAGUAUAAUUGGUACGCUCUUCAGGGAUUGAACAGGAAAACAUGGUAUUGUUUUGCCACAGAGAGAGAGAGAGAGAGAGAGAGAGAGAGAUUGAUUACUGGAGGAAGGAAAAAAGGAAUGAAGGAAAAAAGGAAGAAGAAAGAGAGAGUAUAAAAACCAUUGCAAGAAAUUACAGGAAAACACAGAAGCCAG
Molecule: long non-coding RNA, 204 nt
Filed under: Bos indicus x Bos taurus (hybrid cattle)
Lineage: Eukaryota; Metazoa; Chordata; Mammalia; Artiodactyla; Bovidae
Description: lncRNA (ENSBIXG00005013868.1)
Source: RNAcentral